ACCAGUGUGGUAUAGUGGUUUGAACAUUGGACAAUGACUCUGGAAAUCAGGGUUCAAAUCCCUGCUCUGUCA
This 72-nucleotide transfer RNA is filed under the name Phrynosoma platyrhinos (Desert horned lizard). RNAcentral describes it as "tRNA-OTHER". The record is from RNAcentral. Lineage: Eukaryota; Metazoa; Chordata; Lepidosauria; Squamata; Phrynosomatidae.